GACGAACGCUGGCGGCGUGCCUAAUACAUGCAAGUAGAACGCUGAAGCGAGGAGCUUGCUCUUCUUGGCUGAGUUGCGAACGGGUGAGUAACGCGUAGGUAACCUGCCUGGUAGCGGGGGAUAACUAUUGGAAACGAUAGCUAAUACCGCAUAAAAUGGAUUAUCGCAUGAUAAUCCAUUGAAAGGUGCAAAUGCAUCACUACCAGGUGGACCUGCGUUGUAUUAGCUAGUUGGUGGGGUAACGGCUCACCAAGGCGACGAUACAUAGCCGACCUGAGAGGGUGAUCGGCCAAACUGAGAGUGUGACACGGCCCAGACGCCUACGGGAGGCAGCAGUAGGGCAUCGGCGGGAAUGGACGGAAGUCAGAGCGAGCAACGCCGCGUGAGUGAAGAAGGUUUUCGGAUCGGAAAGCACGGUUGUAAGAGAAGAACGAGUGUGAGAGUGGAAAGUUCACACUGUGACGGUAUCUGACCAGAAAGCGACGGCUAACUACGUG
This 497-nucleotide ribosomal RNA is filed under the name uncultured bacterium. RNAcentral's name for it is "partial 16S ribosomal RNA". It matches the Rfam family "Bacterial small subunit ribosomal RNA", at positions 28 to 507 of the family's 1533-position model. The record is from RNAcentral.